GUGGGGAAUAUUGGGCAAUGGGGGCAACCCUGACCCAGCGACGCCGCGUGAGUGAAGAAGGCCUUCGGGUCGUAAAGCUCUGUCAUCAGGGACGAACGGCCGGUGGAGUGGAAAGCCACCGGAUUGACGGUACCUGAGAAGGAAGCCACGGCUAACUACGUGCCAGCAGCCGCGGUAAUACGUAGGUGGCAAGCGUUGUCCGGAAUUAUUGGGCGUAAAGCGCGCGCAGGUGGGAUCUUAAGUCCAUUUUGAAAGUUCGGAGCUCAACUCCGUGAUGGGAUGGAAACUGGGAUUCUUGAGUACCGGAGAGGAAAGCGGAAUUCCCCGUGUAGCGGUGAAAUGCGUAGAUAUGGGGAGGAACACCAGUGGCGAAGGCGGCUUUCUGGACGGUGUCUGACACUGAGGCGCGAAAGCUAGGGGAGCGAACGGGAUUAGAAACCCUAGUAGUCC
Molecule: ribosomal RNA, 450 nt
Filed under: uncultured bacterium
Lineage: Bacteria
Description: partial 16S ribosomal RNA
Rfam family: Bacterial small subunit ribosomal RNA
Source: RNAcentral